AGAGUUUGAUCCUGGCUCAGAUUGAACGCUGGCGGCAGGCCUAACACAUGCAAGUCGAGCGGAAACGAGUUAUCUGAACCUUCGGGGAACGAUAACGGCGUCGAGCGGCGGACGGGUGAGUAAUGCCUAGGAAAUUGCCCUGAUGUGGGGGAUAACCAUUGGAAACGAUGGCUAAUACCGCAUAAUACCUACGGGUCAAAGAGGGGGACCUUCGGGCCUCUCGCGUCAGGAUAUGCCUAGGUGGGAUUAGCUAGUUGGUGAGGUAAUGGCUCACCAAGGCGACGAUCCCUAGCUGGUCUGAGAGGAUGAUCAGCCACACUGGAACUGAGACACGGUCCAGACUCCUACGGGAGGCAGCAGUGGGGAAUAUUGCACAAUGGGCGCAAGCCUGAUGCAGCCAUGCCGCGUGUGUGAAGAAGGCCUUCGGGUUGUAAAGCACUUUCAGUCGUGAGGAAGGUAGUGUAGUUAAUAGCUGCAUUAUUUGACGUUAGCGACAGAAGAAGCACCGGCUAACUCCGUGCCAGCAGCCGCGGUAAU
This 537-nucleotide ribosomal RNA is filed under the name uncultured bacterium. RNAcentral describes it as "bacterial SSU rRNA". It matches the Rfam family "Bacterial small subunit ribosomal RNA", at positions 8 to 524 of the family's 1533-position model. The record is from RNAcentral.